This is a long non-coding RNA of Solanum pennellii, 2415 nucleotides long. RefSeq lists it as uncharacterized. The transcript is spliced from 3 exons. NCBI's taxonomy places the organism in Eukaryota, Viridiplantae, Streptophyta, Magnoliopsida, Solanales, Solanaceae. The record is from RefSeq and is a predicted model, not a curated record.
AACAAAUUAAAUAGAAAAAUAGAUAAAAUCAUCCAGUUGGUAAGUGCAAGAAUCUCUUCAUCUUCUCUACCAAACCUCUUCAUCUGCUUUCUCCCCCCCUACCCCCGUCUUGAUCUUCAUCUCCUUUCUACCAAAUCUAGGGUGUUUCUUUAUUAAUCUUCGAAGGAUUCAAUUUGAUCCAUUAAAGAAUUUUUCUACAUCUAAUGUACAGUUUCGUCAGAUCUAUUUUCAAAGGUCUUGAUAUUUGCAAGUCAGCUCAAAUAGCAUGUCGCUUUGAUGUCUUCAUCGUCUCAGUAUCUUAGAUAAGCUUUUAUAGCAGAAGUAUCACAGUUUCCGGAGAGACAAAAAGGUCCAAUGUGUUCCCUUUAAUAGAUUCCUAUGAUUUUUUAAAUGGUUUCUCUAGUGGUUCUAUUAUUUUAUUGGAUGAUUAACACAAGCUACAAGAUCCUGGAUUUUGAGUUUCAGCUGAAGAAGGUGAAACUAUUAAUCCAAUUAGUAAGACAUCAAUUUUAUGUAUCUUUCUGCCUUUAGUAUUAUUAUUUUUUUUAUAAAUAAAAUCAUUGUACAUUUAUGUCCUUUCUGUGCAAUUUUAUUUUCUGAAAUAAUAAGAUAUUUAUGCCUUUUUGUUUGUGAAAUUUUAUUUUUUAAAUAUAAAAUGAAAGUAGACGAUAAAUAUUAGAUUUAAAAGAAAAUUGAUCAUCCACUUCUUCACUUCCUAAGUUUUUGGGUUCAUAGGUAGCACUUCUUCCUCCACUACUUCAUAAUCGUCCUCAAGAAAAAGAAAAAAAAGAAAACUUCCUUUUGGCCCUUAACUUUUUUAGUUUUUAUUUGCUCCAAAAUAAUUUCAGGACAACCACUAUAUAUAUGAGAAAACAAACGAAAAAGUAUUAUCUUUGCAAAGUGAAGCAGAAUUUCUAAACCUCAAAAAGAAGAGUAUUCUGCCAAUCAAUGACACCACGUGGACGUGUCUUUAAGCAAACUACAUUCACAGAGAAACUUUUCAAGAUACUCAAUCAUUGGAUGAAUUAAAUAGCCCUACUCUUGUUGUUAAUAAAGGUAAUAUAUUUUAAUAUAUUGAUUACGAUUAAUUAUUUAGUUAUUGGCUCAGUUGAACUUUUUACUAAUGGAUAGGUAUAGUGAUCUACACCUUUGGAACUCAACCUAUUUAUAUAAUAUGUGAAGAUCAUAAUAAACAAACAUGAUAUGAAUGAUUAAAAUAAAAUAUGUUAUUGUUAUAAAAUAUUAUAAUGUUGAUUCCACUACACCAAGAAGUUACUCACCCAUUAUCUCCACUGCUUUCCUCAUUAUGAAGAUGACCAUAAUCUCCAUAACCUCCACCUUUAUAACUAUCAUUCUUGUAACCUUUUGGUUUCAUAACCUCCACAUUAUAUUCAUGUUAAUGUCAUGUUUAUGACUAACCUUUUGUAUGCCUCUAUGUUACACUGUAAAUAGAGGCAUAACGGUUCAUAUUGUAUAUACUUGAAGAUUUGGUGAAUACUUGAAAGAAUGAAAGUGAUCUUAUAUUGUUCCUCUCGACGUAUAUUCUUCUUGUCUUCAUCUUAUAUUGUUUUUUUUGUUCUUUAGUUAUAUUACACGUUAUCAACACGAGUUUCUUAUUUUCCGUCAUAAAUCAAUGGUAGGUAUUUUUGAAUUUUUAUGAUUAGCCUAGUAUUUCUUCAUGCAAGGUAUACUUCAUAUUCUAUAUUAUUUGUACUUACAAAGUUUAUUUUAUAGUUAUUUGAUAAUGAUUAGUAAAUUAUGAUAAUCUUCACAACAAUAUUGUGAGGUACAAUAUUUUAAUUUAUUUUACUUGGGAUUUAUGAUUCUAACAUGUUGUUCUAAUUAAUAGUUUUGUUCAUUUUUAUGCAAUUUAAGUCAAAUCAGAUUAUAUUUAUGAUAUUUUAUAUUUAUUUUUUUGGUAAUGUAUUUGAUUUAUAAGACAUUGGUUGAGGGUAAGACAGUGAAUUCAGGUUACACUGCACCAAGUGGGUAAGACAUCGAGUAAAGUCUCGGUGCACCAAGAUAAUAAGAAGUUGGGUUCAAGUCUCGUCGGUUUAUGACCAAAUGCGUCUUUAUAUGGGUUGAAUGAAUGAUUGUGGAUGUGGUAAAAUGAUAAUGAUCAUCAUUGUGGUAAUGAAAAGGAAGAACAUUAUGGGUUCUUAAGAUGAUCCUUCAAAUGUGAAGGUAAUUUUUAUCCAUCAAAGUGAUAUGAGAAGUUAUUGGGAACAUUGUUGUUGAUGCAACCCAAAUUUGAAAAAUUUGUAAAUCCUCCAUCAAAUAAAAUAACACAAAGUGAUAGUACAUUGGUAUAUUUGAUCUUCUAAAGUGAUGUUGAGGUGAGUCACAUAAAUUUGAUGUAUAAAUGUGAAAGUAUGACAAUGACUUUCUAAUAAAAACUUAUGAAGCAUGUUCAAA